This 465-nucleotide ribosomal RNA is filed under the name uncultured bacterium. RNAcentral describes it as "partial 16S ribosomal RNA". It matches the Rfam family "Bacterial small subunit ribosomal RNA", at positions 338 to 795 of the family's 1533-position model. The record is from RNAcentral.
CCUACGGGUGGCAGCAGUGGGGAAUAUUGCGCAAUGGGCGAAAGCCUGACGCAGCGACGCCGCGUGAGGGAUGAAGGUCUUCGGAUCGUAAACCUCUGUCAGCAGGGAAGAACGGUCACUGUGCUAAUCAGCAGUGAAUUGACGGUACCUGAAGAAGAAGCCCCGGCUAACUACGUGCCAGCAGCCGCGGUAAUACGUAGGGGGCAAGCGUUAUCCGGAUUUACUGGGUGUAAAGGGGGCGCAGACGGCGAUGCAAGCCAGGAGUGAAAGCCCGGGGCCCAACCCCGGGACUGCUCUUGGAACUGCGUGGCUGGAGUGCAGGAGGGGCAGGCGGAAUUCCUGGUGUAGCGGUGAAAUGCGUAGAUAUCAGGAGGAACACCGGUGGCGAAGGCGGCCUGCUGGACUGCAACUGACGUUGAGGCCCGAAAGCGUGGGGAGCAAACAGGAUUAGAUACCCUGGUAGUC